RNAcentral lists this long non-coding RNA (366 nucleotides) under Mytilus galloprovincialis (Mediterranean mussel). Lineage: Eukaryota; Metazoa; Mollusca; Bivalvia; Mytilida; Mytilidae. The record is from RNAcentral.
GACUUCGCGCAUCAAUAGGGACAUAACAAGUUGUGAUCAUUGAUUUCAUUUUGUCCAACAGAGAUUUCCCUGAAUUUUAAUGAAUGUCUAUCAGGGAAUCGAGGAAUACACGUUUUUGCAGUAUUGCAGCGUAGAAACCUGUCAAAUUCUUAAGGUCAAGCACUUCAAAAUUAUUCUAUAGUGAUAUUAUACAUAUAUGCUCUUUCUUUCCGUGACCAAUUAUUGGCAUUGAUAUGUAAUUAUUCCAUUCAUAAAUAUUUGUAGAUGUGUAUUACAAUACUUCCACGUGUAUUGUCCAUUGGUCGUAUUUAAAUAGAUUUUAUUAUUGACCAAUGAAAAAACGAUAUUUAUUUCAUCAGAAAAGCC